CCUACGGGUGGCAACAGUGGGGAAUAUUGGACAAUGGGGGGAACCCUGAUCCAGCGACGCCGCGUGAGUGAAGAAGUAUUUCGGUAUGUAAAGCUCUAUCAGCAGGGAAGAAAGAAAUGACGGUACCUGACUAAGAAGCCUCGGCUAACUACGUGCCAGCAGCCGCGGUAAUACGUAGGGGGCAAGCGUUAUCCGGAUUUACUGGGUGUAAAGGAAGCGUAGACGGUUACGCAAGUCUGGAGUGAAAGGCGGGGGCCGAACCCCCGGACUGCUUUGGAAACUGUAUAACUGGAGUGCAGGUGAGGUAAGUGGAAUGCCUAGUGUAGCGGUGACAUGCGUAGAUAUUAGGAGGAACACCAGUGGCGAAGGCAGCUUACUGGACUGUAACUGACGUUGAGGCUCGAAAGCGUGGGGAGCAAACAGGAUUAGAUACCCGGGUAGUC
Molecule: ribosomal RNA, 443 nt
Filed under: uncultured bacterium
Lineage: Bacteria
Description: partial 16S ribosomal RNA
Rfam family: Bacterial small subunit ribosomal RNA
Source: RNAcentral